GUGCAUCUGUUUGUGACACCUGAAGCAGUUAACUCUCUGUUUCUAAGGUUUCUAUUACAGAUGCAAGAAAAAAAAAGUAGUCUCCUUGCACUCUCCACCUGCCUGUGGCAGUCAAGAUUGAAUAGAGGAAUGCAAAG
Small nucleolar RNA from Rattus norvegicus (Norway rat), 137 nucleotides. Ensembl annotates it as small nucleolar RNA SNORA31. The record is from Ensembl. Lineage: Eukaryota; Metazoa; Chordata; Mammalia; Rodentia; Muridae.